Molecule: long non-coding RNA, 336 nt
Filed under: Felis catus (domestic cat)
Lineage: Eukaryota; Metazoa; Chordata; Mammalia; Carnivora; Felidae
Description: lncRNA (ENSFCAG00000040708.2)
Source: RNAcentral
CCCGAGAGUAAAGCGGCACUUCCAAGGGCACGAUUGCGCAUGCGCCUGGCUAAAUCCUUUUUCGCGGGAACAAGGAUACAUGGGACACCUGCACAAGCAUUGGAUUUUUGCCCUGCAACGUCUGAAAGCUACCACGCAGACACCUGCAGGACUCUCUCUCCCAGUAAGUCCCCUGGUCCCUGCCACCUCCCGCCCACCCUGUAUGGCAGCCGGCAUGCAAUGUGGAUUUCAUGGAGUGACACGGUGGAAUUUGUUACCAAGUCCCUUAAACAUACCACUGGUGCGUUACAAAAAUACACACUUCUAGCUCUAGUUACCCAGCUCACUAUGUAUUAA